AAGUGCGCCUUCCUGAGUAGA
This 21-nucleotide microRNA is filed under the name Cavia porcellus (domestic guinea pig). RNAcentral's name for it is "cpo-miR-506-3p". Its record names the gene cpo-miR-506-3p. The record is from miRBase by way of RNAcentral. Lineage: Eukaryota; Metazoa; Chordata; Mammalia; Rodentia; Caviidae.